RNAcentral lists this ribosomal RNA (406 nucleotides) under uncultured bacterium. RNAcentral's name for it is "partial 16S ribosomal RNA". It matches the Rfam family "Bacterial small subunit ribosomal RNA", at positions 30 to 526 of the family's 1533-position model. The record is from RNAcentral.
AUUGAACGCUGGCGGCAGGCCUAACACAUGCAAGUCGAACGAGUGGCGGACGGGUGAGUAAUGUCUGGGAAACUGCCUGAUAGAGGGGGAUAACUACUGGAAACGGUAGCUAAUACCGCAUACCAUCGGAUGUGCCCAGAUGGGAUUAGCUAGUAGGUGGGGUAACGGCUCACCUAGGCGACGAUCCCUAGCUGGUCUGAGAGGAUGAACAGCCACAUUGGAACUGAGACACGGUCCAGACUCCUACGGGAGGCAGCAGUGGGGAAUAUUGCACAAUGGGCGCAAGCCGGAUGCAGCCAUGCCGCGUGUAUGAAGAAGGCCUUAGGGUUGUAAAGUACUUUCAGCGGGGAGGCGUUACCCGCAGAAGAAGCACCGGCUAACUCCGUGCCAGCAGCCGCGGUAAUAC